This 82-nucleotide transfer RNA is filed under the name Rhipicephalus microplus (southern cattle tick). Its description in RNAcentral is "tRNA-Ser". It matches the Rfam family "tRNA". Rfam says of the family: Transfer RNA (tRNA) molecules are approximately 80 nucleotides in length. Their secondary structure includes four short double-helical elements and three loops (D, anti-codon, and T loops). Further hydrogen bonds mediate the characteristic L-shaped molecular structure. tRNAs have two regions of fundamental functional importance: the anti-codon, which is responsible for specific mRNA codon recognition, and the 3' end, to which the tRNAs corresponding amino acid is attached (by aminoacyl-tRNA synthetases). tRNAs cope with the degeneracy of the genetic code in two manners: having more than one tRNA (with a specific anti-codon) for a particular amino acid; and 'wobble' base-pairing, i.e. permitting non-standard base-pairing at the 3rd anti-codon position. The record is from Rfam by way of RNAcentral. Lineage: Eukaryota; Metazoa; Arthropoda; Arachnida; Ixodida; Ixodidae.
GCAGUCGUGGCCAAGUGAUUAAGGCGAUGGUCUUGAAAACCAUUGAGUUCUUCCCGCGCAGGUUCGAACCCUGCCGACUGCG